This 586-nucleotide ribosomal RNA is filed under the name uncultured bacterium. RNAcentral describes it as "partial 16S ribosomal RNA". It matches the Rfam family "Bacterial small subunit ribosomal RNA", at positions 355 to 1375 of the family's 1533-position model. The record is from RNAcentral.
UGGGGAAUUUUGGACAAUGGGCGAAAGCCUGAUCCAGCAAUGCCGCGUGUGUGAAGAAGGCCUUCGGGUUGUAAAGCACUUUUGUCCGGAAAGAAAUCCUUGGCUCUAAUACAGUCGGGGGAUGACGGUACCGGAAGAAUAAGCACCGGCUAACUACGUGCCAGCAGCCGCGGUAAUACGUAGGGUGCAAGCGUUAAUCGGAAUUACUGGGCGUAAAGCGUGCGCAGGCGGUUUGCUAAGACCGAUGUGAAAUCCCCGGGCUCAACCUGGGAACUGCAUUGGUGACUGGCAGGCUAGAGUAUGGCAGAGGGGGGUAGAAUUCCACGUGUAGCAGUGAAAUGCGUAGAGAUGUGGAGGAAUACCGAUGGCGAAGGCAGCCCCCUGGGCCAAUACUGACGCUCAUGCACGAGAGCGUGGGGAGCAAACAGGAUUAGAUACCCUGGUAGUCCACGCCCUAAACGAUGUCAACUAGUUGUUGGGGAUUCAUUUCCUUAGUAACGUAGCUAACGCGUGAAGUUGACCGCCUGGGGAGUACGGUCGCAAGAUUAAAAACUCAAAGGAAUUGACGGGGUCAUAGCUGUUUCCU